AGAGUUUGAUCAUGGCUCAGGACGAACGCUGGCGGCGCGCCUAAAACAUGCAAGUCGAACGAGAAGCCCGGGCUUGCCCGGGUGGACAGUGGCGAACGGGUGAGUAACACGUGAGGAACCUGCCCCGAAGACCGGGACAACACCGGGAAACCGGUGCUAAUACCGGAUACCUUCGCCGGAUCGCAUGGUCCGGUGAAGAAAUGGAUUCCGCUUCGGGAUGGCCUCGCGGCCUAUCAGCUUGUUGGUGAGGUAACGGCUCACCAAGGCAACGACGGGUAGCUGGUCUGAGAGGAUGUCCAGCCACACUGGGACUGAGACACGGCCCAGACUCCUACGGGAGGCAGCAGUUAGGAAUCUUGCGCAAUGGACGAAAGUCUGACGCAGCGACGCCGCGUGCGGGAUGAAGGCCCUCGGGUUGUAAACCGCUUUCAGCAGGGACGAAAUUGACGGUACCUGCAGAAGAAGCCCCGGCCAACUACGUGCCAGCAGCCGCGGUAAUACGUAGGGGGCAAGCGUUGUCCGGAUUUAUUGGGCGUAAAGAGCUCGUAGGUGGUUUGGUAAGUCGGAUGUGAAAUCUCCAGGCUCAACCUGGAGGGGUCAUUCGAUACUGCCAUGACUAGAGGUCGGUAGGGGAGUGUGGAAUUCCUGGUGGAGCGGUGAAAUGCGCAGAUAUCAGGAGGAACACCCGUAGCGAAGGCGGCACUCUGGGCCGAUACUGACACUGAGGAGCGAAAGCGUGGGGAGCGAACAGGAUUAGAUACCCUAGUAGUCC
Molecule: ribosomal RNA, 772 nt
Filed under: uncultured bacterium
Lineage: Bacteria
Description: bacterial SSU rRNA
Rfam family: Bacterial small subunit ribosomal RNA
Source: RNAcentral